This 1042-nucleotide unclassified non-coding RNA is filed under the name Hevea brasiliensis (rubber tree). Lineage: Eukaryota; Viridiplantae; Streptophyta; Magnoliopsida; Malpighiales; Euphorbiaceae. The record is from RNAcentral.
UCAAGGACUUGGUGGGCUUGAAUUACUGGCGACCAGUGAACCACCAAAAGCUGCAGCUGGAGCCACUGCUGAGGGUGCUGGGAAGAAUCUUGAGGAUAUUUUGGUGAAGAAAAUGAAUGGUCCAGAAAUGUUUAUUACCGAGGAGAUCAGUGCCGAGUUCAGAGAAUCAUUGCUUGCUAGAGUUGGUUUGAUGGGCAUUGUUUACUUAAGAACCCUGCCGCCAAAGUCUUCCGAUGAUAAGGAAACUGAGUUUUCUUUCAAGGUUGAAGACACUGCUGCUGUUAAAAGGUUUGUCAUGCAAAAUUCUCGUGUGAGCAGCCUUGGGAAUGGUCUGUUUCAUGUAAAGACAGCACCAUCAAAUGAGCCUAUACCAAUUAUUAAGUACAGUUUGCUACCGCGUUUAACUCCGUUGCCUUUGAGGAUUCGACUUGUUAAGCGUCUUAGCGGGUCAUUACUUUCUGUAAUGCUGCAGUACGUUGCAAAUCCUGAUAUUCCAGUUCCAUUAACCGAUGUGACCUUUGUCCUGAAAUUGCCAGUGGACCCAACAUUAUUGAAAGUUUCACCUAAAGCUGUGUUGAACCGCUCUGAGAGAGAACUGAAAUGGCAUGUUGAUGAGAUUCCGCUCAAGGGUCAUCCUGGCAAAUUGAAGGCGAGGUUCCCCAUUGAUAUUAAUGAUGAUGAUGAUGUGGUAGAGCUAGAGCUUUUUGGUUAUGUAAAGUUUUCAUCCCAAGGAACUAGAUCUUUGUCUGGCAUUUCUCUGCAGCCGGCUUUAGAGGGCAAGACUGAUUUUUAUGAGGUUGAUCACAGGUAUUCAAGUGGAGUUUACACAUGCAACUAAGCAUCAAUGACUUCUUUUCUUGGUUUAAAAUUUGUGUGUCUUUGUGCUUUCUAUAUUUUAACAUCGUAUGAGUUAUCAAAGUAUUUGCAGCUUUCUUUGAAUGUACUAGCAUGUAAUUUAGAUGAUCUUGUUGUUGAGGAAUUUUGUUUAAAUCUUCCCAGUCUUUUUCUUUAUGUAAUGGAACAAAAGAUUUUUUUAUAUCUG